AGAGUUUGAUCCUGGCUCAGAUUGAACGCUGAUGCCUUACACAUGCAAGUCGAACGGCAGCGGACCUUCGGGUGCCGGCGAGUGGCGAACGGGUGAGUAAAGUAUCGGAACGUACCUUUCAGUGGGGGAUAACGUAGCGAAAGUUACGCUAAUACCGCAUAUUCUCUGAGGAGGAAAGCAGGGGACCUCGGGCCUUGCGCUGAUUGAGCGGCCGAUACCAGAUUAGCUAGUUGGUGGGGUAAAGGCCUACCAAGGCGACGAUCUGUAGCGGGUCUGAGAGGAUGAUCCGCCACACUGGAACUGCCUACCAAGGCGACGAUCUGUAGCGGGUCUGAGAGGAUGAUCCGCCACACUGGAACUGCCUACCAAGGCGACGAUCUGUAGCGGGUCUGAGAGGAUGAUCCGCCACACUGGAACUGAACACGGUCCAGACUCCUACGGGAGGCAGCAGUGGGGAAUUUUGGACAAUGGGCGCAAGCCUGAUCCAGCCAUGCCGCGUGAGUGAAGAAGGCCUUCGGGUUGUAAAGCUCUUUCGGCCGGGAAGAAAUCGCAUCGGUUAAUACCCGGUGUGGAUGACGGUACCGGAAUAAGAAGCACCGGCUAACUACGUGCCAGCAGCCGCGGUAAUACGUAGGGUGCGAGCGUUAAUCGGAAUUACUGGGCGUAAAGCGUGCGCAGGCGGUUUUGUAAGACAGGCGUGAAAUCCCCGGGCUCAACCUGGGAACUGCGCUUGUGACUGCAAGGCUAGAGUAUGGCAGAGGGGGGUGGAAUUCCACGUGUAGCAGUGAAAUGCGUAGAGAUGUGGAGGAACACCGAUGGCGAAAGGCAGCCCCCUGGGCCAAUACUGACGCUCAUGCACGAAAGCGUGGGUAGCAAACAGGAUUAGAUACCCUGGUAGUCCACGCCCUAAACGAUGUCAACUAGGUGUUGGGGAGGGUAAAACCUUUUAGUACCGGGAGCUAACGCGUGAAGUUGACCGCCUGGGGGAGUACGGCCGCAAGGUUAAAACUCAAAGGAAUUGACGGGGACCCGCACAAGCGGUGGAUGAUGUGGAUUAAUUCGAUGCAACGGCGAAAA
This 1077-nucleotide ribosomal RNA is filed under the name uncultured beta proteobacterium. Its description in RNAcentral is "bacterial SSU rRNA". It matches the Rfam family "Bacterial small subunit ribosomal RNA", at positions 8 to 967 of the family's 1533-position model. The record is from RNAcentral. Lineage: Bacteria; Pseudomonadati; Pseudomonadota; Betaproteobacteria.